AGUAAUAUGUCUGAAAAAAAGUAAUAAAUUGUAAAUUUAUUUAUAGAAUUAAUAUUCUUAUUACUA
This 66-nucleotide transfer RNA is filed under the name Apocrypta bakeri. RNAcentral describes it as "tRNA-Tyr". The record is from RNAcentral. Lineage: Eukaryota; Metazoa; Arthropoda; Insecta; Hymenoptera; Pteromalidae.